Molecule: non-coding RNA, 1857 nt
Organism: Drosophila virilis
Lineage: Eukaryota; Metazoa; Arthropoda; Insecta; Diptera; Drosophilidae
Source: RefSeq, a predicted model, not a curated record
GGACGAGCUGAUAGCGACGCACAGCAGGCAUACAAAAGCUAAGACAAAGCAUGAAACUAAUUCACAAACAACUGAGCGAUAAGCUAGUGACAAACGUGAAGGAUUACAGCCAAAAGGAUGCUUGUCCAAAGUUUUGACAAGCUACGCUGCUCGGCAACAUGACCGAUUAACAGCAUUUCAAUUACAAUGUGUGAUUAAGACAUCAAGGCUUUACUUGUCCCAGCUGCUCCAAUGGCUUCCAUAUAUAUGUAUGUAUCUAUGGCUAAUGUCAGCCAAACCACCAAAACGCAAAUCCCCAAAACUCGAAGCGGCAGACAGGCGCCGGGAGGCCUGAAAUGGAUUUCAGUGGGUUAUGGCUUGGGUUUUGUGGUUCAGCUUGAAGUAGGCACCGAUUGCAGAGCCCGCACACACACGGUCAUAUAUAUAUGUAUAUGUAUACGUAGAGCUGUCAUUAGUUGCUGUCACUUUGCUGGCGGCACACUCUGGCCUCUCAGUCUCUGGCCUCUCCGUCUCUGGCCUCUCCGUCUCUGGCCUCUCCGUCUCUGGCCUCUCCGUCUCUGGCUCAUGUCACUUUGCUGCUGUCACACCUACACGCCCCCAUUACCAACGCCCACCCCGCCCCGCUUGUGGUAGCUCGCACAAUUCCCGGCUGACAAUAAUGUUUUUGUGCCCAGCUUAAAUACAUUAAAGCCUUCGCUGUCUGACAUACAACAUGGCAAAUGAUGAGCAAACCCCCGACCACCGCAACAGUCACCCUCACACACACACACACACACACAUACACACACACACACAGAGAGGGAGCUAGAACUGCUUGGCAGGCACUUCAAGCGGGAUGAGGGUCCUUCAGAGGCUUUUACAUUUGCCCGAAACGCUUUGCCCAGUUGAUUAGCAAUUUUGCUCACGUGGUGCUAUUUGUUGGCUUCAAGGGUGGGCUGUGCGGGGAAUGUAUGGUAGGGAGGGGGCUGGGGGUGCAGAAAGUGUUGACUGCUAUGUUUGCGCAUUGCUUUGGCCGCUCUUUGCAAAAUUUAUUUGUGCGGCAAAAAUUUACAUCUUUUAUAUAAACUUAUUCAGUAGAAACUUAGCACGACUUUUCGCAAAUUUUCUUCAGCCAUUUUGGCAUUUGUCCGGCUGCCCGCCGCUUGUAGCUAGCUCUCGAGUGUUUUUAAAGCAAAUCCUUUGCGUAAUUACUUUGCACAGUCACACAAAUCCCACGCCCAGCCACGACCGCCUGCCCUUAAUAGAUUUGUCCCCGGGGCUCAGGCUGAAGCCAAGCGCAAAGGCAUUUAAAUUCCGACAGCAGUCGUAUUUGUGUUUUACAAUGUUUUUAUUUAACUGCUGACUGUUUAAAUAUUAUAUGUUUGGUCUUUUUGGAUUUUACGGCCAAGUUUGUACACACACUCGCUUAGACAACACGCAUACGCCGUGUGUAUUUAUUGUGUUGCGCCUAACAGAUGCAACAAAAAAUGUCCGCUUCCGUUUGGCAAAAAAUCACAUAAAUUGUAUGAAAUGCCAGCACACAAAACUCUCUCACGGCAAAAGCUGGCAAAAACUAACCGCAAAAAAGGCAGCACACACAAACAACAACAACAUCACAAUUUACAACAAAAACAACAACAAGGCGUGGCAAAUCAACAGAAUAUUUCAAAUAUGGCCAUGCACAGGCGCCUAAGCAAAAUGCACACAUGUUCAUGGACACGCCCCUGGUUACCGACACUCAACUAUACACAUAUUAUGUGCACACACCCCCACACACACACACACACACACACACACACACACACAGCCACACUCCACAGGUUGACAAUAAAACGUUGGUCGUAAUAAUAAACUAAUAGUGCCCCAGCUGCCAAGAAA